GCUUGCUGCUUCGCUGACGAGUGGCGGACGGGUGAGUAAUGUCUGGGAAACUGCCUGAUGGAGGGGGAUAACUACUGGAAACGGUAGCUAAUACCGCAUAACGUCGCAAGACCAAAGAGGGGGACCUUCGGGCCUCUUGCCAUCGGAUGUGCCCAGAUGGGAUUAGCUUGUUGGUGGGGUAACGGCUCACCUAGGCGACGAUCCCUAGCUGGUCUGAGAGGAUGACCAGCCACACUGGAACUGAGACACGGUCCAGACUCCUACGGGAGGCAGCAGUGGGGAAUAUUGCACAAUGGGCGCAAGCCUGAUGCAGCCAUGCCGCGUGUAUGAAGAAGGCCUUCGGGUUGUAAAGUACUUUCAGCGGGGAGGAAGGGAGUGAAGUUAAUACCUUUGCUCAUUGACGUUACCCGCAGAAGAAGCACCGGCUAACUCCGUGCCAGCAGCCGCGGUAAUACGGAGGGUGCAAGCGUUAAUCGGAAUUACUGGGCGUAAAGCGCACGCAGGCGGUUUGUUAAGUCAGAUGUGAAAUCCCCGGGCUCAACCUGGGAACUGCAUCUGAUACUGGCAAGCUUGAGUCUCGUAGAGGGGGGUAGAAUUCCAGGUGUAGCGGUGAAAUGCGUAGAGAUCUGGAGGAAUACCGGUGGCGAAGGCGGCCCCCUGGACGAAGACUGACGCUCAGGUGCGAAAGCGUGGGGAGCAAACAGGAUUAGAUA
Molecule: ribosomal RNA, 713 nt
Filed under: Shigella flexneri
Lineage: Bacteria; Pseudomonadati; Pseudomonadota; Gammaproteobacteria; Enterobacterales; Enterobacteriaceae
Description: bacterial SSU rRNA
Rfam family: Bacterial small subunit ribosomal RNA
Source: RNAcentral